CAGUCGCCACGGUAAUACGAAGGGUGCUAGCGUUGCUCGGAAUUACUGGGCGUAAAGGGAGCGUAGGCGGGUCAUUUAGUCAGAGGUGAAAUCCCGGGGCUCAACCUCGGAACUGCCUUUGAUACUGGCGACCUUGAGUAUGGGAGAGGUAAGUGGAACUCCGAGUGUAGAGGUGAAAUUCGUAGAUAUUCGGAAGAACACCAGUGGCGAAGGCGACUUACUGGCCCAUUACUGACGCUGAGGCUCGAAAGCGUGGGGAGCAAACAGGAUUAGAUACCCCCGUAGUCCCUGUCUCUUAUAC
This 301-nucleotide ribosomal RNA is filed under the name uncultured bacterium. Its description in RNAcentral is "partial 16S ribosomal RNA". It matches the Rfam family "Bacterial small subunit ribosomal RNA", at positions 509 to 807 of the family's 1533-position model. The record is from RNAcentral.